CAACGACCAGUAAUGUUGAAAGCAAAAUGAUUUUAAUAGAAAACAAUAGGACUAGAAUAUGUUAAGGGUAAGUAAUCCAAAAGUGUCUGUUUAGGGUAAAAAUAGUCGGUUAUUUACCGUUUGCUAUGAUUUCAAUCCAACAAACAUGAGACAAAAACAUAAUAAACAUAGUAUGCAGACUGUUUUCAUAAGGAAAUAGACUGAAAAUAUCUACAUUUAACAGUCAGACAUAUAUUAUAUACUAAAUUAUUCAAGGCAAAAUUAAUUUUGGUAUCAUUUUAGUCUCUUGUGGACAGUUGUUUCAUUGGCAAUCAUACCACAUCUUCUUUUUUAUAUAUAAAAGUUGCCAAUGGAAUACAUGGAGGAUGGAAAUUAAAAUUUAUGAGAUAUAGGUCAAGGAAUCGUACACAGACUUUAUGGUAUUCUUUUAAUAGUUUAAAGACUUUAUUUUGUUAUCUAUGCUGUAUACAUGUAAAGAUAGUUACAUUUGGAUUUAAAACCAAAUUUCAAGAAUGAAGGGUACCAUAAUUUAAAUUUAAUUUAUGAUACAAAAAAAUAUAUAAGGGAAUUAACUCUUACAUGAUGUGCAUCAUAUCGAUGCAAAUGAAGCGUUUUAAUAAAUCUGACGUUUUUUAGAUAAGAACCUGACUUGAGCAGACUGUAUUGGGGUCAUAGAUGGCAAUAACAAUGAAAUACAAUAUAUUAUAAUUAUCAUUCUUCAUUACUUUUUGAUUGAAUUAACAAACUUAAUUUAAUAACAAAAUAUUUCAUUUUCAGUAGACAACACAUCCUGUCAGAGGAAUAAUUUUACUGGAGGAUAAAAAUUUUGAUACCUGGAAUCAGCAAUUUAUAUGAAAUUUGUUAUGAGAGAUAUAUUCAUGUACAGAAUGGUAAUCCAGGUGGUUCAAGUGAUUAUAAGCACACAUUUUUGUUGAACUACAUGUAAUGCAGGAUUUAAUAAAUGAAAG
RNAcentral lists this long non-coding RNA (968 nucleotides) under Mytilus galloprovincialis (Mediterranean mussel). The record is from RNAcentral. Lineage: Eukaryota; Metazoa; Mollusca; Bivalvia; Mytilida; Mytilidae.